This 116-nucleotide small RNA is filed under the name Pongo abelii (Sumatran orangutan). RNAcentral describes it as "Metazoan signal recognition particle RNA (ENSPPYG00000035786.1)". The record is from Rfam by way of RNAcentral. Lineage: Eukaryota; Metazoa; Chordata; Mammalia; Primates; Hominidae.
GCCGGGCGCGGUGGCUCACGCCUGUAAUCUCAGCACUUGGGAGGCCGAGGUGGGUGGAUCACUUGAGGUCGGGAGUUCGAGACCAGCCUGGCCAACAUGGUGAAACCCCACCUCUA